UAGCUCAGUUGGUAAAGAAUCUGCCUGUGAUGCAGGAGACCCUGGUUCAAUUCCUGG
RNAcentral lists this transfer RNA (57 nucleotides) under Capra hircus (goat). It matches the Rfam family "tRNA", at positions 8 to 63 of the family's 71-position model. Rfam says of the family: Transfer RNA (tRNA) molecules are approximately 80 nucleotides in length. Their secondary structure includes four short double-helical elements and three loops (D, anti-codon, and T loops). The record is from Rfam by way of RNAcentral. Lineage: Eukaryota; Metazoa; Chordata; Mammalia; Artiodactyla; Bovidae.